UGAGACCACCAAAACAAGAUAUAUAUAGAGGCUCAACAUAACUAAACAAUAUGCUUUCACUACUAUAAGUCUAUAACCCAUAACACUAAACCAAUUCCUACUACAUAGAUACACUUCCCACCUUAAUUAACCAACCCCAUUCCCUUCAUAAAACUACAAUUACUCUACCGACACAUAUCUUCAUUCAUAAACACUUUCAAAACAUCUCAAUGAAUUGCUUCUCUUAUUAGUUACAAUGACUCCUUCAAUAACCACUUUCAAAGUAAUCAUCUUCAUUUUCUUCUUGUGCACCCCUCUUGAUGUUAGUAGUGUUGUCUAUCCAAGUUAAAUUUCCUAUGUGGAUUAAGGCACGUGACCAAAAUUUGCUACGUCAAAAUUGUCUCUAGUAACUUGAGUUACCGUCAAAAUCAUUUGACCGCAUACUACACAGCUACCUUUGGUGUUAGUGUUCAAGGGUUCAUAACAAAAGACAUUUCUUUCAAAAACAAAACAAAGUCCGUAUAUUCGAAGGUUGUAGCAUUACGAUCAAUUUGGUUAUGAAGAUGUCAAUAUCAAUUACCAAUUCUAUAGAGAAUGCAAAAUCAGUGGACUUGCAGUAUUUCAAAAUUGUCAAAUAUUGGUAAAAAAAAGGAUUACCAAAACAAAGUAACACAAUCACAGCUCAAGGAGGAAGAAAUCAUGUUAUCAAACCAUAUGAGUUUUUCAAUUCAAUUUUGCAA
Molecule: long non-coding RNA, 719 nt
Organism: Cicer arietinum (chickpea)
Lineage: Eukaryota; Viridiplantae; Streptophyta; Magnoliopsida; Fabales; Fabaceae
Source: RefSeq, a predicted model, not a curated record